CUACGGGGCGCACCAGUGAGGAAUAUUGCACAAUGGGGGAACCCUGAUGCAGCAACGCCGCGUGGAGGAUGACGCAUUUCGGUGUGUAAACUCCUUUUAUAUGUCAAGAAAAUGACGGUAGCAUAUGAAUAAGCACCGGCUAGACUCCGUGCCAGCAGCCGCGGUAAUACGGAGGGUGCAAGCGUUACUCGGAAUCACUGGGCGUAAAGGACGCGUAGGCGGGUUGGAAAGUCAGGUGUGAAAUCCUACAGCUUAACUGUAGAACUGCACUUGAAACUUCUAAUCUAGAGUAUGGGAGGGGGAGAUGGAAUUAGUGGUGUAGGGGUAAAAUCCGUAGAUAUCACUAGGAAUACCUAAAGCGAAGGCGAUCUCCUGGAACAUUACUGACGCUAAGGCGUGAAAGCGUGGGGAGCAAACAGGAUUAGAUACCCGCGUAGUC
RNAcentral lists this ribosomal RNA (439 nucleotides) under uncultured bacterium. RNAcentral's name for it is "partial 16S ribosomal RNA". It matches the Rfam family "Bacterial small subunit ribosomal RNA", at positions 339 to 795 of the family's 1533-position model. The record is from RNAcentral.